UACGUAGGGUGCGAGCGUUGUCCGGAAUUAUUGGGCGUAAAGGGCUCGUAGGCGGUUUGUCGCGUCGGGAGUGAAAUCAUCUGGCUUAACUGGGUGCUUGCUUUCGAUACGGGCAGACUAGAGGUAUGCAGGGGAGAACGGAAUUCCUGGUGUAGCGGUGAAAUGCGCAGAUAUCAGGAGGAACACCGGUGGCGAAGGCGGCGACCUGGGUAGAUACUGACGCUGAGGUGCGAAAGCGUGGGGAGCAAACAGG
RNAcentral lists this ribosomal RNA (253 nucleotides) under uncultured bacterium. RNAcentral's name for it is "partial 16S ribosomal RNA". It matches the Rfam family "Bacterial small subunit ribosomal RNA", at positions 524 to 776 of the family's 1533-position model. The record is from RNAcentral.